This is a long non-coding RNA of Hylaeus anthracinus, 3677 nucleotides long. RefSeq lists it as uncharacterized. Lineage: Eukaryota; Metazoa; Arthropoda; Insecta; Hymenoptera; Colletidae. The record is from RefSeq and is a predicted model, not a curated record. The transcript has 3 exons.
UUCCCGCAAAACAAAUCUGCAGUGAAAGAUGCAAAAAAAAACGCAGAAGGCUCUUGUGAAGCAUUGUUAAUACGACACGCGUUGUAUGAAUUAGUAAAAUAAGAAAUUGUAUUACACAGUAAAUCUUUCUAUAACGAGGUUUCCAUAUAGCAUGGUAGACUUAUGAUUUUAUGUUUCUAUAUAGCAACUUGAUUAACUUGAGCUGUUUUACCUUAUAGUAUGAACUUUUCUAUUAUAUUUUUAUAAUUGAAAUUAGUUGGGAAUUGCUAUUAGUAAGGAAAUGAUAAACAUAAGAUGAAACAACAGACACGUGACAGAUAAAGAAGGAUAAAAAAGAAAAAAGGAAUAAUGACAGGUUCAGAAUAGGAGAAAACAUAACUAAUUUGCUUAAUUUGUUUAUUUAGUAUAUGUACGUCAAUUUUUUGGUGUAAUAAUUGGAGUAAGGUAAUUACCUAAUUAGUUAUAUUCCGUCCAUUCCAAACCUUUUAUUACUCCACUUUUGUUUUCUGUUACUUUAUUUUUCUAUUAUAUUUGUUGUUCUACCUUAUAGGACGGAAAAAGUAUUAAAAAUAGAGGGACCUAAACAUCGUUUCUAUGUUAAUUACAGUAAUGAUUAUGAACUGGUCUCUAUAAUUAAUUAAGUUACAACAUUCUUUUCUCAAAUGAUUGAAGCGAUCUUUAAGACAAAUCGAACAUUUUGUUGGAUUUAUUAACAAUUUAAAAUAAAAGUUGAACUGUUUGUUCGACUACACUUUGAUGAUAAAUCCUUAUAAUUUAUUAUUAUAAAUUAUUAUUCGUUGGUAAUUUAUUACUACAGAUUCUUAUUAGUUAGUAAUUUAUUAUUAGAGAUUAUUAUUAAUUGAUAAUUUAUUAUUAAAAGAAAACUAUGCCCACUUCUGUAUUUUGCUUGUUAAUAGUUUUAACAAGUUGAUAUUAGACUCUACGUGUAAUGUAAACACAAUAUACAUAUAAAUAUUUAACAUUAACUGUGUUGUUAACAUUAUAAGUGUGCUGCUCAAUUCGUUUCGAAGUUACAUAACGUAUUCACAUCACGUUGGUCGAAAUGGGCGUAGAAUGGAAUUGAACUAAUUAAAAAUGACUUUGUUUCAUUCAAUAGGCAAUAAAAUAGUAAAAGAAAAUUGACAAGGUGAUGAUAUAUUAAAUUUAAAUCAUAGUUUUUGUUCCAAAAUUUUUUUCUUUUAAUAACAUGAAAAAAAAUAGUAAUUUCCAAGAUGUUAAAAAUAAUCUACUUCACGCUACAGCUACAAGUGUUUUUCAUAUGUGUAUAGAAUUUCGAUUCAAGUCCACAUAUGAAUUUUUAGGUAUCACGUGAACAUAUUUGAAAAACAGCAUUUCGAGAAAAACGCGUUCAAAGUUUCAUGUUUAAUCAUCUUAACGAGUAAUUCAUUCAAAUUUCUUCCUAAAAUCACUCAGUUAUUAAUAAUGCUAUCACUUUAGGGGAACAAUUAUUGUAAUAGAGAACUAAUUUGAUUGAUAAAUUAGUUUGCUUCUCCUUUCUCUAAUUACAAACACAUAGUUGUAUAAUAUAGGGUCGACCUCGGUAGUUUUAGUGAUAAACAAAUAUAACGUUGACAAUUUUAAAAUAUUGUUUAAUAUAAUCUGCAAUGAAAAUAUUAACAAAAAAUUCUAUUUUUUUGAUCUAAAAUAAAAGUGUACACCUUUAAAUGGUCUGCGCUGGGUCGACAGGAGGAUUUCGUGAAGUUUUAUUGGAUUGAUCAACAGACUGUGUAUGUUUAUGCAUUUAGGACAAUUCGAAAUAUUGGAAUAUAUAUGACAACGUGUGCAAAUGCAAAAAUAUAUCAAAAGUGAACAAUAAUGUACAUGGUAUGCCGUAUAGAUGAUUAGACAUAUGUACUUUCAUUUUAGUUUCACUUAUUUUUCUGAAUUUUUGAAAAUACGAAAUUGCAUAUAAAUUCACAGUCGAAUUGUUAUAAAUAAAAGUACCUUCGCAACUUAACGCUACAAACAGUUAAGAAAUUUUUUAAAAAUUUGUUUGAACUUAUUGUAAGAGAAAUAACAUUACUUUCCAAUCUAUCUAAUAUAUAAAAUAUCAACAAUAAUAUGUUAUAUCAUUUAGAAGAUAAGACAGACUUUCACUUAAGUUUCAAUUCCCUUUCUGUAUCCGUGAAAAUAUGAAUUUGCAUUAAAUUCAAUUUCCGUGGAACGUCCAUUUACUCCAUUUACAACUACUCCAGAAUGAUUUUAUUCCUCGCCGUGCGAAUAAGAGAUGCGUAGACGCAUUUUGGUAGAAUCUGGUGGGGGAAUGUGGCGGCGCGCGAUAUGAUAGCGUUUUGAGAUGGUUCAGUUCCGCGCCGUCUUUCACGUGCGCGACACAUUUCGGGAAACGAGAAAUGUUAUCGGCGCCGGGAUUCGUCGACGGAACGUCCACAAUGCGAUUCCGCGUGUAUACUAUCCUAUUCCUUAUUAAUGUUUUAAUCUCACGACUCUACGAACACGAUAAACAAACAUUUUCCCCCGUUUUUAUGUGAAAUUUGUUCGCUCUUUUUUGUUCUCAAUGGUUUCUCGUUUUACUCCAAUUUAGCAACCCCUCGAACGUCCAACGUUAACGUGACAAAUUUAGAUAAACAUCGCAUUAUAUUAUCGCAAGUAUCUCUUUCGAGCUUCGUUCAAUGUUAACGUUCGACGUUCGAGGGUCGAUGGACGAUAAAUAUUGUAAAUUUCGUUAAGUGUUAAAGAAUUCGAAGAGUGACAGUGUGUAUAGUGUGUCCCGUGGAUAUAAUCAUGGAUAAGCCAGCCUUUCGGAUCGUCCGUCUCAGAAUGGCAGGCCCGCGGUCCAUUCUUCGUCGUUGAUGGGGACAAUUAGAAGAGCUUUGUCCGGCGACCACGCGUUGUCCGGCUGCUCGGCAACUUGAGUCCCAACGAGAGGACCGCCCGCCAACCCCUAAUGUUUGUAUCCGGUCCCCAGGACGUUCACUUCCGACCCGAGAGUGCUACUACGGGUUUGCUGACCAUCGACUUCUUCGACUCGGCUCCUGAUCGCUCGCGAACGUUCUCCGCGGUCUGUUCCAAAAAGUUAUCGGUCUCUGCUGGAUCGCAGCGGAGACAAACGAAAUAUUGUCGGAGAACCAGUUGUUGAAGUUACAAAUUUUCGCCAGGGGGGUGCAAACACUGGCGGAUCUGGACUUGUCAAAGUCUGAAGCUAAUUAGUAGACUGCGGAUGUUCACGCGCGCAAAAUAUGAAAAUGUAUUGGGUGUUUCGUUUUUUUCCUCCCGAGGAAGUGAAUGUUGUAAUUAAUGAUAGGUUUAUUAAUAUACGAGACUAUAGGUGCUAAGGGGUACCAACUGUGAUACACGUUUUUAGUUCCUUUUUCCUAUGAGUUGCAGUUCUAUCUUUACUGUACUUACACUACCUUUUUCUGUUCCUCGCUGAUGCAACCUUUUGUAACACACGUUCUCUAAUAAACAUUUAUUUCCUAAUUAAAUCAACACAUUGUUAAUACAUCCGAAUUGUAUUCUUAUAAUUACACGCCCUUUUUAUCGGUGAAGCUAUCAAAUAAUGUUUUUAUAAAACGUAUUUGGUACAACAAGACAAACUGAAUGGCUUAAAUGAUUUCUUUGUAAGUACGGGGGAGAUUUAACAAACAAAUUAACUUUUGCAAGGGGAACUUUAUAUAUUUUUAUCUAUGAUACUUAAG